This 421-nucleotide long non-coding RNA is filed under the name Gallus gallus (chicken). RNAcentral describes it as "long non-coding RNA NONGGAT001360". Lineage: Eukaryota; Metazoa; Chordata; Aves; Galliformes; Phasianidae. The record is from RNAcentral.
CAGACAGGCUUGCUGAGUUGAGUGGAGAGGAACCUGAUGAGGAUGAGGUUCAACAAGAGCAAAUGUGGAGUCCUGCAACUGGGGAGGAAUAACUACAGGCAUCAGUGCAGGAGGAAAACAACUGAGAAAGGACGUGCUUCAGUUUAAGAUACAGUCAGUUCCAGAGCUGAGCCCUGCUGCACAUAAGAGAAUCUUGGUUGAAGAAUGAAAUUUUAAAACAAAGCUGAGAAAUGUAUGCUGCCCCUUAUAUAUAAUUUCCCCUUGGUAAAAAUAACACUCAGGCACACAUUCAAGUAAAUGUAAUCGUUGAUGAGAAUCUCUUCUGGCUUUCAAAACAUCAGCAAGAGGAUACUCAGUCUGUGCAUUCUGGGUCUGCGCUGAUGUAUGGCCUUCUCAAAAUUAAUUUGUGUGGUUGCUGCCA